UGCCCGGGAAGAACAGCCUUUGAAAUUCAGCAUCUGCUUCUGGGUAGUUGGUUGAACAAGCCCACCUGACCAAGAGAGGGAAGCACGCUAACUUUUCAGUUUGGACACUCUUGGGGGCUUUUUAGUAAUUGCAUGUGUUUCUGAGCAAGUGAGUGUCUUUUGUGGGUACUAGACAACAGGAUCUGCUCCUGUCAACUAGGGACAGUCUGAAGAAUUUUGGUGUGCAAGUUCAUCAAGCUCAUCCCAUGGAAAGAGGAAGCUCCGCUGUUUCAGUUUGGACACUCUUGGGGUUUGUUGGUUGCUGCAGCACUUGGAUUGUAUUUUGGUGAUUGUUUAUUUGUGUAUGUCAAUAUAGCCAUGGGAAGUAAGAAUUUGAUAAGCUGAUAAUCUUAUGUAAUACUGUUUGGCCUCAUAUCUUUGAAUCUGGAUAAGUUUGGCCUCUCCAUGUGCCUCGUUUUGCUGCUGAAUGGCAAAGCA
RNAcentral lists this long non-coding RNA (477 nucleotides) under Pan troglodytes (chimpanzee). Its description in RNAcentral is "long non-coding RNA NONPTRT014834". The record is from RNAcentral. Lineage: Eukaryota; Metazoa; Chordata; Mammalia; Primates; Hominidae.